Molecule: non-coding RNA, 158 nt
Filed under: human gut metagenome
Source: RNAcentral
AAGGUUGCAGCCCCGGGAUGCAUGAAAAGGGAAGGCGGUGCAAAUCUGUAGCAGCUCACUCUACUGUAUGGCUGACGAAAGGCGAAAUGUCACUGAGCAAGCCGCUUGGGAAGACGCUGAGUAGGAGGAAGCUGAGUCGGGAGACCUGCCUUGAUUGA